AUUUGAAACUCCAGUCAACACUGCGGCCACAAAAACACAUAAAGGCGACAAAGCACUGUGACAAAACACCUCAGCAGCCAGGGAUGUGGCUGAGGGUUGACUCUGCUGUUGUCAAGGCAGCACUCUAAUUUGGCUUAACCCACAGCCUUGAGACUUCAUGGCAGCCCAGACGAGACGACGCAGGUGUGGACUCAUCUCGGCUGCACACGGACUCUGAAGAUACUCUCUGCCACUUCCUUAUUCCACAAUUUAUCCCAUAAUCUCAUCAUGUCUCCUGUCAGGCCGGGUGUCGGCCGGGGUCAGUGGCUUAGCACAUCCAUCACCAUGACUGACAGUGGGGACUCACAAGUCCCAGAGCUUUGAUGUCUAACCUUCACGAGGUGUCAUUCGAUUGACCCAAGCAGUCAUAUGACAGGCAGAUUGAGACCCACUGAGAACCUCGUUUUGUUCCACUAUAACGGAACAUCUGGAUAGCAUCUUUGCACUGAUCGUUAAUCUAAACACGACUGCACAACUAAUUCUUGUGUACUGUACUGAACACACAGUAAAAAUGGCAU
Long non-coding RNA from Electrophorus electricus (electric eel), 557 nucleotides. RefSeq lists it as uncharacterized. The record is from RefSeq and is a predicted model, not a curated record. Lineage: Eukaryota; Metazoa; Chordata; Actinopteri; Gymnotiformes; Gymnotidae.